Pelobates cultripes (western spadefoot toad) is the source of this 258-nucleotide non-coding RNA. NCBI's taxonomy places the organism in Eukaryota, Metazoa, Chordata, Amphibia, Anura, Pelobatidae. The record is from the annotation of a GenBank genome assembly.
AUGGAAAGUAGAGGCGCUCUAUCCCCGCCCUCUAUGGUAAGUAGAGGCGCUCUAUCCCCGCCCUCUAUGGUAAGUAGAGGCGCUCUAUCCCCGCCCUCUAUGGUAAGUAGAGGCGCUCUAUCCCCGCCCUCUAUGGAAAGUAGAGGCGCUCUAUCCCCGCCCUCUAUGGUAAGUAGAGGCGCUCUAUCCCCGCCCUCUAUGGAAAGUGGAGGCGCUCUAUCCCCGCCCUCUAUGGAAAGUGGAGGCGCUCUAUCUCCG